RNAcentral lists this ribosomal RNA (473 nucleotides) under uncultured bacterium. RNAcentral's name for it is "bacterial SSU rRNA". It matches the Rfam family "Bacterial small subunit ribosomal RNA", at positions 355 to 825 of the family's 1533-position model. The record is from RNAcentral.
UGGGGAAUAUUGGACAAUGGGGGAAACCCUGAUCCAGCAAUGCCGCGUGAGUGAUGAAGGCCUUCGGGUUGUAAAGCUCUUUCAGACGGAAAGAAACGGUUACGGCUAAUACCCGUGACUAAUGACGGUACCGUAAGAAGAAGCACCGGCUAACUACGUGCCAGCAGCCGCGGUAAUACGUAGGGUGCGAGCGUUAAUCGGAAUUACUGGGCGUAAAGCGUGCGCAGGCGGUUUGGUAAGACAGAUGUGAAAUCCCCGGGCUUAACCUGGGAACUGCAUUUGUGACUGCCAGACUAGAGUGUAGCAGAGGGGGGUAGAAUUCCACGUGUAGCAGUGAAAUGCGUAGAUAUGUGGAGGAACACCUGAGGUGAAGACGGGUUGCUGGGCUGGACACUGACGCUGAGGUACGAAAGCGUGGGGAGCAAACAGGAUUAGAUACCCAAGUAGUCCCUGAGCGGGCUGGCAAGGCGCAU